UGUUCAUAGUUAGUAUAUGUAAGUCCACAAUCUCUAGCCUAAUGGUAGCAAAUAAAUGGCCCUUGUAACAAUGCGACAUCAUUCUCUUUCCCAACUUAAGACAAACAUGUUAAUCGUGUUCUCCCUGUCCUGCUGAAACCCCCAAAUCUCCAAGUGGCUACUACUAGCUAUCAGAAUUGUCAUAAGCAAUGAAACCUGAUACUGUUUAUGAUUUAAAAUACCACAGAAGCUGCAUGCAUGAGUGUGCUACCAUUGGCCAGGAAUCCUAAAUUUUAUCAUCUGUUGGUAAAAUCUUAGUAUGAAGUUAGGCACAAGGAUAUCACUUUCAGUAAUCUUAAAAAUUCCUCAUUUCUUCAGGAUAAGUAAUCUAUUGUUAAAAACUUUGAGAGAGUAAUGCUGUCCUCUAUCUCAAUAACUUUUUUAUAUUUCAGUUUUAUUAGGAAGUUCCUGGAGCACCUUAUAUUCAUCAUCUGAUGUAUUGGCUGUUCCUGACAAAAUCUGGAAAGUGUCUCCUUCAGGUUCAUUGAUCUAACAGUGGACCCAGUUCAGCAUUGCAACAUUGAGAAGGUGUUCCUGUGUACAGAAACAGAUGAAUGUGUCCCCAAAUAUUCCAGGACAUAAGUAUGGCUGUGUGGCUGACUUACCCUCCAUACUCUACAGGACCAAUAUCCUGAUAAAGCUCAUCCAGAGAUCCAAGUCAGAAAACUUGGCAAUGUGAAUUUUAAUACUCAGCCACAAGCCACAAGGAAGCACUUCCUUUAAGGGAAUGGCCAGGAUCUGAUGUUUUCAGCCAGUCCUCUGCUGCCCUCUUUCAGAUCAAUGGACUUCCCUUCUUCUGAGACGUAUGCCUCAGGUGAGAAACAACCCACCUGUAAGCAACUUUAACAGUAAUCAGGCCAUAACUCCAUUAUAUAGUUAUGGUGACUCCUCAGAAGUCCAAACUGUCGAAUGAAUUUUGAAGACCCUUCUCUGCCAAGUUGAGCUUGACCGUAUCUGGGAAGCCGAUCUGGUUGUCUGUACAUCAACAUGGGAAACUGCUUUUCUGACUUCAAACCAGAGUAACCAUUUAAAAAGCUUUCUUGUUAGGGACUCAUGCAGCUGGUGACUCUCGGUUGAAACUGGUGCUCACCGACCAUUCUGAAAAUCCUAGGGCCCUUUGGAAUAAUGUUAAAUGUACUCUGCCUGUGCUCUGUGCUCUAUAAGUGGAAGAACAAAGCCUGGAUGACAGUACAUCUGUUUACAACAUGGUUUACUGAAUACUGAUGAGACCUACUGCUCAGAAAAAAGUUCCUUUCAAAAUAUUACUACUUAUUUGACAAUGUUGAAUGCAUCUGGUCCACCCAAGAACUCUAACAGAGAUAGACAAGAUGCAUAUUAUUUUCAUGUCUAACACAGCAUCGAUUUUGCAGCCCAUGGAUCAAGGAGUUAUUUCGACUUUCAAGUCUUUUAAUUUAAGAAAUGCACUUCAUAAGGUUGGCAUAGUGAUUCCUCUUACUGAUCUGGGCAAAGUACACUGAAAACCUUCUGGAAAGAAUUCACCAUUUUAGAUGCCAUUGAAAACAUUCAUGAUUAAUGGGAAGGGGUCAAAGUAUCCACAUGAACAGGAGUUGGGAAGAAGGUGAUUAGAACCCUCUGGAAUAAUUUUUGAAGGGUGUCAAGACAUAAGUGGAAUCUAAAAAUGUGACUAAACUGCUGCCAUCUCCUAAUAAAAUCUCAACGGAUGAGGAGUCGCCUCUUAUGAACAAAGACAGUGGGGUUUCUUGAGACAAUCUAUCCCUGGUGAGGAUGCUGUGAAGACUUGAAAUGACAACAGACUUAGAAAUAUUCCAUAAACUUAGUUGAUGCACAGCAGCAGAGUUUAAGAUGGACUCUAAUUUUGAAAGAGGUUCUAAUGUGGAUAAAAUGCUAACAGCACUGCCUGCUAAUCUUUCAUUGGACGGAGAGUUGAUGUGGCAAACUUCAUUAUUAUAAGAAAUUGCCACAGCCAUCCUGACCUUGAACUACCACCGCCACCAACAUCAAAGCAAGACCCUCCACUAGCAAAAAGAUUACAACUUGCUGAAAGCUUAGAUGAUAGCAUUUUUAGCAACCACAUAUUAAGGCAUGUGCGUUGCUUUUUUAAACACAAUGCUAUUAUACUACAUUGUAAAUGUAUGCACUAGGAAACCAAAAUAGCCAUUUGACUCACUUUACUACAACAUUCACUUUAUUGCAGUGGUCUGGAACUGAAUCCCCAGUAUCUCUGAGGUAGGCCUGUAUACUGAAAUAGGUUACACUAUAUUUAUAAAAAGCUGCUCCUUCCUUGAAAAUGGUCUUUGGGAAUCAGGUCAACCAUGUUCUAUGAGCAAGUCCAUCAUUCCACACUUGAUUCAACCUCUUCAAAUCUUUUCAGCUUGAGACUGCCCACUGAAUUGGCCCACUAAAACACUAACAGAAGUGUUAAGGGCUGGCAGCUCCUUAGGAAAUUUUUAAAUAUUCCUUUUUUAAAAUGGUAGAACUAAACCCAUCUACCACUCUUUAGGACAUGCAGAUCUUUAAAAUUCUGUAUGUUUAUAAUUUUAUAUAUAAUCAUAUAUAUAUAUAAAAUCUUCAUAAUUAUUUUUGUAGUACUUAAAAAGUGUAAUUCUACUUGACAAAGAUUUGAAGCCACUAAAUUGGUAAGUCAAUUGGUGGGUAGAUACCAAAAACUAGUCAAUAUAUAUUGCUGUUUGUCUUCUAUCACACACAGUUUACUUCUUCCCAUCCCUAACCCAUUAGCACCAGAUGCUAUUAGGCUGUUUCUCUUCCUCUUGAAAACUGGUCUUUGGUGACUUUCAACAGUUACCUUUAGCCUUAUAUUUUUCUAAGUAUUUCUUCAAAAAUGAGGCUCCCACGCUUAAUGGUGACUUGUUUCAUGAAAAGAGCGAUCAUUCCUCAAAUUUUGUGUACAUAAGACCCAAAACUGUUUUCAGAACCCAAGGUUAAAAUGAGGUCAAUCUGGAGGGGAACACAAACUCAAAUUACAGCCUGUCUUAGACACUGAAUUUUGCUGGACACCAAUAGCAACAAUUCCACAUUUUGGAAAAGUGAGCAGUAUUAGUAAUACUUUAAAAAAUCAACACUGAAAAAUCUCCAUGUAUGGGCAGAUGACAAAUGAUAGGAAUUUUAGAAGAAAUCUAAAGGAAAGAGAUAAUGUCCUAAGGAAAAGUAAAAAUCAAAUGAGAAAAUUGAAGAAAUGGAAAGAAAAGACCACUUAAGGAUUAUAAAAGUUAUAUUUAUUCACGAUGCUACAUUUAUUGCAUUCCCUUAGAAAAAUGGAGAACUGUUUAUGUACCCAAUUUGCACAUAUAAAACUUUAUACAAAUUAUGUGUAGCACAUAAAGGCCUCUGGUACAGCUAAAAUCCUGACACUACAAUUUGGGUAAAUCCUGCUUCAGGGUCUCCAGUUUAUCAAGUCUGUUCAGAGAAAAUAAACACUGGUAUUAUACUCAAUCUUGCCAUUCACACUUAGAAAUUAUUUUAAAAUAUAAAAUUUUCACUCUAAAAACUCAAAAAAGGUAAACUGGAAGGGGACACACUUUGUUACCGAUUUCAAUUUAACAGUAUGACAAAUUCAUACCUUAUUUUGGCUGGGUCUUUUUAAAAAAAACUAUCACCUUAGUUUUGACAUUCUUUCUAAAUUGUGGCUGCUUCAAGAAGGUAGUAUGUCAAAACAUUUACCAAACAGUAAAAAUAAUAUUCCUUUUACAAAAUGG
This is a long non-coding RNA of Felis catus (domestic cat), 3734 nucleotides long. RefSeq lists it as uncharacterized. The record is from RefSeq and is a predicted model, not a curated record. The transcript is spliced from 5 exons. NCBI's taxonomy places the organism in Eukaryota, Metazoa, Chordata, Mammalia, Carnivora, Felidae.